This 460-nucleotide ribosomal RNA is filed under the name uncultured bacterium. RNAcentral describes it as "partial 16S ribosomal RNA". It matches the Rfam family "Bacterial small subunit ribosomal RNA", at positions 338 to 795 of the family's 1533-position model. The record is from RNAcentral.
CCUACGGGAGGCAGCAGUGAGGAAUAUUGGUCAAUGGACGAGAGUCUGAACCAGCCAAGUAGCGUGAAGGAUGACUGCCCUAUGGGUUGUAAACUUCUUUUAUAUGGGAAUAAAACAGGGUAUGCAUACCCUCUUGUAUGUACCAUAUGAAUAAGGAUCGGCUAACUCCGUGCCAGCAGCCGCGGUAAUACGGAGGAUCCGAGCGUUAUCCGGAUUUAUUGGGUUUAAAGGGAGCGUAGGUGGAUUGUUAAGUCAGUUGUGAAAGUUUGCGGCUCAACCGUAAAAUUGCAGUUGAAACUGGCAGUCGUGAGUACAGUAGAGGUGGGCGGAAUUCGUGGUGUAGCGGUGAAAUGCUUAGAUAUCACGAAGAACUCCGAUUGCGAAGGCAGCUCACUGGACUACAACUGACACUGAUGCUCGAAAGUGUGGGUAUCAAACAGGAUUAGAUACCCGAGUAGUC